RNAcentral lists this long non-coding RNA (290 nucleotides) under Drosophila guanche. Lineage: Eukaryota; Metazoa; Arthropoda; Insecta; Diptera; Drosophilidae. The record is from RNAcentral.
GAGAAUCUGAAAUGUGGCCGAUGCAAACAAACAGUCUCAGAGUCCCACCACUGAUAUCUUCCCCACCCACCUUUUGAGUGUGAGUGCGCUUAGAAUGUUAACCAAGCCAACCAAGCAAUUCAAAUUCAAUUUGCCCUAUUAUGUGAGGCCCAUUGUUCCUGGCUAAAUUCUUCGGGGCUGAGUGGCAUUCAAAGAGAGCCAGGCCAAGAGUGCAAGCCAAGCUAAGUGCAAUACAAUAGACGGCCAGAUUAAAAAAUGUGCAAAAGACACCCGUGGAGGAUACAUAGGAG